CUUUAAACACAAAGGUU
Molecule: transfer RNA, 17 nt
Filed under: Triprion petasatus (Yucatecan shovel-headed treefrog)
Lineage: Eukaryota; Metazoa; Chordata; Amphibia; Anura; Hylidae
Description: partial tRNA-Phe
Source: RNAcentral